Molecule: ribosomal RNA, 305 nt
Filed under: uncultured bacterium
Lineage: Bacteria
Description: bacterial SSU rRNA
Rfam family: Bacterial small subunit ribosomal RNA
Source: RNAcentral
UGCCUACGGGAGGCAGCAGUGGGGAAUUUUGCGCAAUGGGGGAAACCCUGACGCAGCAACGCCGCGUGCGGGACGAAGGCCCUCGGGUUGUAAACCGCUUUCAGCAGGGAAGAUCCAAGACGGUACCUGCAGAAGAAGCUCCGGCUAACUACGUGCCAGCAGCCGCGGUAAUACGUAGGGGGCGAGCGUUAUCCGGAUUCAUUGGGCGUAAAGCGCGCGUAGGCGGCCGCCUAAGCGGGACCUCUAACCCCGGGGCUCAACCCCGGGCCGGGUCCCGGACUGGGCGGCUCGAGUGCGGUAGAGGG